Molecule: ribosomal RNA, 470 nt
Filed under: uncultured bacterium
Lineage: Bacteria
Description: bacterial SSU rRNA
Rfam family: Bacterial small subunit ribosomal RNA
Source: RNAcentral
CGCCUAAUACAUGCAAGUCGAGCGAGAAGGUGUAGCAAUACACUUGUAAAGCGGCGAACGGGUGAGGAAUGCAUGGGUAACCUACCCUCGAGUGGGGAAUAACUAGCCGAAAGGUUAGCUAAUACCGCAUACGUUUCCGGAACUUCGGUUUCGGAAAGAAAGCAAUACCGUGGGUAUUGCGCUCCUGGAUGGGCUCAUGUCCUAUCAGCUUGUUGGUGAGGUAACGGCUCACCCAAGGGCUUCGACGGGUAGCUGGUCUGAGAGGACGAUCAGCCACACUGGCACUGCGACACGGGCCAGACUCCUACGGGAGGCAGCAGUAAGGAAUAUUGCGCAAUGGACGAAAGUCUGACGCAGCGACGCCGCGUGGGGGAUGAAGGUCUUCGGAUUGUAAACCCCUUUCGGGAGGGAAGAUGGAGUGGGUAACCACUUGGACGGUACCUCCAGAAGCAGCCACGGCUAACUUCGUG